AUGGGUUUAGGAUACUGUCCUUCAUAUUCACCCAGUUCAAUGUAACAGUGAUGGGUUUAGGAUACUGGUCCUUCAUAUUCACCCAGUUCAAUGUAACAGUGAUGGGUUUAGGAUACUGUCAUUCAUAUUCACCCAGUUCAAUGUAACAGUGAUGGGUUUAGGAUACUGGUCCUUCACCCAGUUCAAUGUAACAGUGAUGGGUUUAGGAUACUGUCCUUCAUAUUCACCCAGUUCAAUGUAACAGUGAUGGGUUUAGGAUACUGGUCCUUCACCCAGUUCAAUGUAACAGUGAUGGGUUUAGGAUACUGUCCUUCACCCAGUUCAAUGUAACAGUGAUGGGUUUAGGAUACUGUCAUUCAUAUUCACCCAGUUCAAUGUAACAGUGAUGGGUUUAGGAUACUGUCCUUCUCCCAGUUCAAUGUAACAGUGAUGGGUUUAGGAUACUGUCAUUCACCCAGUUCAAUGUAACAGUGAUGGGUUUAGGAUACUGUCCUUCAUAUUCACCCAGUUCAAUGUAACAGUGAUGGGUUUAGGAUACUGUCAUUCAUAUUCACCCAGUUCAAUGUAACAGUGAUGGGUUUAGGAUACUGGUCCUUCACCCAGUUCAAUGUAACAGUGAUGGGUUUAGGAUACUGUCCUUCAUAUUCACCCAGUUCAAUGUAACAGU
RNAcentral lists this long non-coding RNA (667 nucleotides) under Salmo salar (Atlantic salmon). Its description in RNAcentral is "lncRNA (ENSSSAG00000105640.1)". Lineage: Eukaryota; Metazoa; Chordata; Actinopteri; Salmoniformes; Salmonidae. The record is from RNAcentral.